GAUGAACGCUGGCGGCGUGCCUAAUACAUGCAAGUCGAGCGAACAGACGAGGAGCUUGCUCCUUCGACGUUAGCGGCGGACGGGUGAGUAACACGUAGGUAACCUACCUAUAAGACUGGGAUAACUUCGGGAAACCGGAGCUGAUACCGGAUAAUAUUUCGAACCGCAUGGUUCGAUAGUGAAAGAUGGCUUUGCUAUCACUUAUAGAUGGACCUGCGCCGUAUUAGCUAGUUGGUAAGGUAACGGCUUACCAAGGCAACGAUACGUAGCCGACCUGAGAGGGUGAUCGGCCACACUGGAACUGAGACACGGUCCAGACUCCUACGGGAGGCAGCAGUAGGGAAUCUUCCGCAAUGGGCGAAAGCCUGACGGAGCAACGCCGCGUGAGUGAUGAAGGUCUUCGGAUCGUAAAACUCUGUUAUUAGGGAAGAACAAACGUGUAAGUAACUGUGCACGUCUUGACGGUACCUAAUCAGAAAGCCACGGCUAACUACGUG
Molecule: ribosomal RNA, 497 nt
Filed under: uncultured bacterium
Lineage: Bacteria
Description: partial 16S ribosomal RNA
Rfam family: Bacterial small subunit ribosomal RNA
Source: RNAcentral